Molecule: ribosomal RNA, 468 nt
Filed under: uncultured bacterium
Lineage: Bacteria
Description: partial 16S ribosomal RNA
Rfam family: Bacterial small subunit ribosomal RNA
Source: RNAcentral
GACGAACGCUGGCGGCGGGCUUAACACAUGCAAGUCGAACGGAAAGGCCCUGCUUUUGUGGGGUGCUCGAGUGGCGAACGGGUGAGUAACACGUGAGUAACCUGCCCUUGACUUUGGGAUAACUUCAGGAAACUGGGGCUAAUACCGGAUAGGAGCUCCUGCUGCAUGGUGGGGGUUGGAAAGUUUCGGCGGUUGGGGCUGGACUCGCGGCUUAUCAGCUUGUUGGUGGGGUAGUGGCUUACCAAGGCUUUGACGGGUAGCCGGCCUGAGAGGGUGACCGGCCACAUUGGGACUGAGAUACGGCCCAGACUCCUACGGGAGGCAGCAGUGGGGAAUAUUGCACAAUGGGCGCAAGCCUGAUGCAGCAACGCCGCGUGCGGGAUGACGGCCUUCGGGUUGUAAACCGCUUUCGCCUGUGACGAAGCGUGAGUGACGGUAAUGGAUAAAGAAGCACCGGCUAACUACGUG